CCUACGGGAGGCAGCAGUGGGGAAUAUUGGACAAUGGGCGAAAGCCUGAUCCAGCCAUGCCGCGUGUGUGGAGAAGGCCUUCGGGUUGUAAAGCACUUUCAGUGGGGAAGAAAGCCUUGGGGCUAAUACCCUCGAGGAAGGACAUCACCCACAGAAGAAGCACCGGCUAACUCCGUGCCAGCAGCCGCGGUAAUACGGAGGGUGCGAGCGUUAAUCGGAAUUACUGGGCGUAAAGCGCGCGUAGGCGGUCUGAUAAGCCGGUUGUGAAAGCCCCGGGCUCAACCUGGGAACGGCAUCCGGAACUGUCAGGCUAGAGUGCAGGAGAGGAAGGUAGAAUUCCCGGUGUAGCGGUGAAAUGCGUAGAGAUCGGGAGGAAUACCAGUGGCGAAGGCGGCCUUCUGGACUGACACUGACGCUGAGGUGCGAAAGCGUGGGUAGCAAACAGGAUUAGAUACCCCAGUAGUC
Molecule: ribosomal RNA, 465 nt
Filed under: Vreelandella stevensii
Lineage: Bacteria; Pseudomonadati; Pseudomonadota; Gammaproteobacteria; Oceanospirillales; Halomonadaceae
Description: partial 16S ribosomal RNA
Rfam family: Bacterial small subunit ribosomal RNA
Source: RNAcentral